Bombus terrestris (buff-tailed bumblebee) is the source of this 1392-nucleotide long non-coding RNA. RefSeq lists it as uncharacterized. NCBI's taxonomy places the organism in Eukaryota, Metazoa, Arthropoda, Insecta, Hymenoptera, Apidae. The transcript is spliced from 2 exons. The record is from RefSeq and is a predicted model, not a curated record.
GAACUUUGAUUCAUCGUUGAAUAAAUUUGCUUGAACCGAGUUACAAUUUGCAAAUAUAGCGUGGUAUAAAUGUAACGAUAUAUAAAUCGAACGCUUCGUAAAGAAUUGAAAAAAGAAGGACUAUUUUCACGUAUAAACAGCCUGCAGAUUCGAUUUCAAAACUCUAUUCUUGGCCGAUUUUUCCUUGAAAAAAUGAUGCUUCUUUACAAAUAAGAAAUUUAAGAGAAAAUUCUUAAUUAUAUCUCGUUCAAUCAUAUCAUAUAUACGUAUCCACACGGAGAAUUAAUACCAACAACAAGCUGGAGAUCAAACGCAUGAAAAAUGAUCGAUAUCGUUUUCAUUUUUUUCCAAGUCAAUUUUAACUACGCAAACACUUACGAAGCUAAUCCUUCGCGGAUAAAACGAGGCAGUUUCGAAACGUUUAUUCUUUCGGUUAGAUAAACAACGGAGUCCGCAAUUUUUAUACGCGAUUCAUCGUGGCACCAGAAGCAAGAGUAAAAUAAACGGUGGAACCGGGGUCGUCGCAAAUCAGCUGCUUCCUUCUUCUACGGUUUAUUUUUCAAAGCUGAGAUUUUAUCUGUCCACGCUUGAGGAUUCGUCGAACCGUGCCUUCUGGCGAAUGAGGAAAAUUCUCUUCUCUAACCGCGCCUCUUCACUUUACUUUGCUUUUUUCACAUAUGUAGGUUGCAGUUCAUUUCUCCAAUUAUCUCGCUUCUUAGUUCUACCGUGUAUGUAUACACGAGAUGCAUACCUAUAUAUAGUAUAGUCUGUAAAAAUGCAGAAACGUUGGUCGAAAUGCGGUAGCAAUACCUAUACGAAUGUUAAUCUAGUUCAGGCUUUCAUUUAAAUUUUAAAAUCAAUUUAAUCAAAUUAAUAGUAAGCAACGACACUUACUGCGUCCUCAUUGAAUCAAGAAAUUAUACAUUUAAGUACCUAUUCAGUAUACAUACUAUAAAGUAUGAUAUUUAAAAUAGUGAUAUUUAGUGUGAUAUUUAGUGAUAUAAUAGUAAAAUAGUGAUAUUUACUAUUUAAAUAUCACUAUAAAAAUAGUGAUAGUAAAUAUCACUGUAAAAUAGUGAUAUUUACUAUUUAAAUAUCACUAUUUGUGUCGAUGUUAGAGUUAGAAAUCUUUCUAUUAAUUUAGAUUCUAUAAUUUUAAAGAAGUAAAACAAUCUUAUAAUUUAAAGGAAGCACAUAGAUCCAACUUGUAAUUAAACAAUUGGCGAAUCUGUAGAUGAAAAGGAAUGUUAAAUCGAAAGAAAAAUUUGCAAAAUAAUCGUUUUGUUAUUGCAUAUGGGCUUUUAGAAGUCAAUCCAAUGACGUUGUAAUAUUCCAUUAUAUAUAAUUACGCGAAUGGUAGAGAAUAAAAUCAUUAGAGUUCAAAAAAUUCGA